UUUUUUAUGCGUGAUUUACAAAAUCUCAAGUAAGAAUUUUUUCUAUUUAUUUUCGCAUGAGCAAUGCUUGACAUAAAACGAAUUAAGCUGGUUAAAGAUUGCUAAAUGAUAUUUGAGAGCAGCUUUGUGCACUCUUUUUCAAGCAUUCUCUCAUAACUUUUAGCUAGUGCAUCUUGUAGUGAAUUUAACUUUUGGUUUCUACCUUGGAGGUUGUGGAAUGAAUUGUUACUAGUAUGUCUAUUAUUAAAUGAGAAAUACUCAAACUCAGCUUCAAUGAAAUAGAGAUAGAUCAUGAUCAAUGGCUGCAAAAGCGAGGUGGCAUAACAACCCAAAAGCCAUUUGUUUUGGUUUAAUUAAAUACCCAUUGCUUACUUAAAAGGAUCUUUACUCUAACGUAUAGAUAUAUUUCUUAAAAACGAUCAAAGUUUCGUUAGUCUACACCCUAGGUUUCUAUUCA
Schizosaccharomyces pombe (fission yeast) is the source of this 457-nucleotide non-coding RNA. The record is from the annotation of a GenBank genome assembly. NCBI's taxonomy places the organism in Eukaryota, Fungi, Ascomycota, Schizosaccharomycetes, Schizosaccharomycetales, Schizosaccharomycetaceae.